UUCACUAUAAAAGGGUUUCGUUUUAAGUUCCAUGCAUGCAUGUGUUUAUAACGGCCUAGCUUGAGUCCUAGGGGGUCGGGUUGUUACAUUUGUGUCUUAAAUGCUCUGUUCUUUGUUUGAUUUUGGUAUAUUAUUCAUGGAACUAUAACUCUAGAUUCAUAGGCGUGGUGGCUGUUUUAGUUAGACAUCUUUAGAACUUUUCAAAUUGUGGUAAUGCUUAAUUUUCAAUUAGUUUCGGAGGAAAAUUUCUUCCACUUCUCCUAGUUCAUUUCUUUCUUUUGAUGAUUUUUGUAAUACUUAAUUUCUUCCGCAUCCGUCCAAGCACUGCCCAGCCUCUGCAGUCGUCGUUUGUUGUCGGUUCUGUUGUUGGAUCCAAGAUUGGAGUAGUCUGAAGUGCGCAACAUGCUGUUCAACGAGUUCGAGUUCGUUUUCAACAAGAAAUUUGGUAACAUUUGUGGUUCUUUAGGUUGAUCUCCGGAUACCCACUAAUGAUUAGAUUAAGUAUUGACUUGACUAUUAUAUUUAGAAGGUUUAAGGUCGUUUUUCAUUGGAAUUAGAGCUUGUUUUUCUUUGUGGAAUUUAGUGGAGAUUUUGAAGCUGAAGCUUGGAAAUGACUGUUGGUUAAGCUACACUUUAGGUUUAAUUUGAGUUUCAUUAUCGAGUAGUUGCUUAGAGAGAAAUAUUUGGACUUGCGAUCUGAGGUGAGAUGCAUUGGCGACUGACAAGAGGAAUCUUUGAUCGAGCCAUCAGGGACUAGUUUACAUGCUUCCAUUCAUAUUUUAAUAUUUCUAUUAUGUUUUACAUUUUCAGUUUUGAAGUUCGAGACUAC
Molecule: non-coding RNA, 829 nt
Organism: Benincasa hispida (wax gourd)
Lineage: Eukaryota; Viridiplantae; Streptophyta; Magnoliopsida; Cucurbitales; Cucurbitaceae
Source: RefSeq, a predicted model, not a curated record